This 301-nucleotide ribosomal RNA is filed under the name uncultured bacterium. RNAcentral's name for it is "partial 16S ribosomal RNA". It matches the Rfam family "Bacterial small subunit ribosomal RNA", at positions 509 to 808 of the family's 1533-position model. The record is from RNAcentral.
CAGUAGCGCGGUAAUACAGAGGGUGCGAGCGUUAAUCGGAUUUACUGGGCGUAAAGCGUGCGUAGGCGGCUUCUUAAGUCGGAUGUGAAAUCCCUGAGCUUAACUUAGGAAUUGCAUUCGAUACUGGGAAGCUAGAGUAUGGGAGAGGAUGGUAGAAUUCCAGGUGUAGCGGUGAAAUGCGUAGAGAUCUGGAGGAAUACCGAUGGCGAAGGCAGCCAUCUGGCCUAAUACUGACGCUGAGGUACGAAAGCAUGGGGAGCAAACAGGAUUAGAUACCCGAGUAGUCCCUGUCUCUUAUACA